GUGGGGAAUAUUGGACAAUGGGCGCAAGCCUGAUCCAGCCAUGCCGCGUGAGUGAUGAAGGCCUUAGGGUUGUAAAGUCCUUUCGCUGGGGAAGAUAAUGACGGUACCCAGUAAAGAAGCCCCGGCUAACUCCGUGCCAGCAGCCGCGGUAAUACGGAGGGGGCUAGCGUUGUUCGGAAUUACUGGGCGUAAAGCGCGCGUAGGCGGAUCGGAAAGUUGGGGGUGAAAUCCCGGGGCUCAACCUCGGAACUGCCUUCAAAACUCCCGGUCUUGAGUUCGAGAGAGGUGAGUGGAAUUCCGAGUGUAGAGGUGAAAUUCGUAGAUAUUCGGAGGAACACCAGUGGCGAAGGCGGCUCACUGGCUCGAUACUGACGCUGAGGUGCGAAAGCGUGGGGAGCAAACAGGAUUAGAUACCCCUGUAGUCC
This 425-nucleotide ribosomal RNA is filed under the name uncultured bacterium. RNAcentral describes it as "partial 16S ribosomal RNA". It matches the Rfam family "Bacterial small subunit ribosomal RNA", at positions 354 to 796 of the family's 1533-position model. The record is from RNAcentral.